Chinchilla lanigera (long-tailed chinchilla) is the source of this 4468-nucleotide long non-coding RNA. RefSeq lists it as uncharacterized. Lineage: Eukaryota; Metazoa; Chordata; Mammalia; Rodentia; Chinchillidae. The transcript has 2 exons. The record is from RefSeq and is a predicted model, not a curated record.
GGCCUAACCCUCUCUGUAUAGCCCAGGCUGGCCUUAAACUUGUAAUCCUCUACUUCAGCCUCCCAAGACUGCGGGUGUUCCCUGGAGCACCUAGCCUACUGUCUAAUUAUAAUGAAAUGUCGUUUUAAUAACCUUUUAAACUACAUGUUCUAAUGUUAUGAUGGUAUGUAAGAUUUUGUAUUUAUUGACAUUGGUUUAGUAAAAUCUGUUACUUUUUCAAAAAGCUCUGAAAACAGCUUUAUAAAGCUAAAAUGAACCUUUUCCAGAGACAAUCUUGGAAUUGUACUAAAGAAAAGACAGAAAUGCUGAAGAUCCAUUGUUUCUUCCUCAGUCUGCCCAUGCUGAUAGCAACAAGGGUGAGUUCACCGACCUGACGCCCCAGUGAGAUACUAAUAGUCCAAGCCGUGCCUAUGGGCCACUUCCAACAGGGGUGAUAUCACCUUGGGAGACUUCAUCUUCUACAGUUAGAUUCUCAACAGGCUCCUUGCUCCGUGACAGGUGACACUGUGAGAGCUGCCUUUAAGGCAGUUUUUUUUUGUUUUUCAUUUUUCGUUUUUCUUCUGGUACCGGAAUCAAACUCACGACCUUGUGCUUGCCAGGCAGGCGCUUUGCCGCUGAGCCAAAUCCCCAGCCCCCAAGGAAGUUUUAAAAGGUGACAAAAAUCACUCAAAUGACAACCUCAAGGGGGUAAAGCCCAGGCAGUGUACACUGAGUGAGCUGCCAUGCACCCGGCUAACCUUCUGUAAAUAGAAAAGUAGCCCAUUACAAACUUUACCUCGAACCUGUUUUAAUAGCUGUAAUUUAUUUAAGGAACAUAAAAUAAAUUUGCAGUAUUCUGCUCUUCUUAGGUAAAUGUGUUUAAGCACUUUAGUGGGAAGUAGGCGUUUCGAUUCUUUUGCUGUAAACAGUGACAUCAGCAGAAUAAAAGUGAGUAAAUGUUAGUUGAAUCUACAGGGAGUCAGGCAUCAUCAGUAUCUGGCUGAGCUGAGUAAAGAACCCCCAAACCUUGACCUUAGAACAUUCUCCGCAGAAAUACAGAUGUCCUGCACUGUUGAAUGAGCUUCUCUUUGAAGCCACCCACCAUAUGAUGCUUUUCGCUUUUCUUUACAGAGAAUAAAUGGAAAUCUGAGAUUCCAGAUGAAUGACCGGGACCUGCUAUAUCAUUGUUACUCUCUGAUUUCAUAUCAGGGGCUGUGAGAAUCUGUCACUUGUGUUUCAGUUAUUUCCUCAACGACAAAGUGGGAGCUUUUCUCUUCCUUGCAGGAAGGCAGCAGGGAACAUUGCUUUUACACUGGCCUUGAGCCACCGUGUUCCUCUUGCUCCCUUUUGUGUUCCAGCGUCCAGCACAGUCCCUGGCACCCAGGUAGAUGUGGUUACUAAAUGAAUGCAUGCUUAAAUAAGUGAGCAAGCACAAACCCCAAGGAAAUUUUAAUAUGGAGCUUUAAGACACGGUUGGAGCAUAGGGCUUCAGUGAUUCAUCAGUUACUGAGUGCUACGGUAAGGAAGCUCCACCGUAAGCACAAUGUGGGAAAUCUUCAAGACCACACGCCAGGUAAGGUCCACAGCAGGAAGUAUACUGUUUAGUAUCUGCUGCUUUCUCUCGGGGGUCAUAUGUAAAGCUAAGGCAGUUAAGAAAGAAACUGGCUGAAGCAGGAGGGUCACAAGUUGAAGCCCAGUGUAGGCAACCUGGUGACCUAGGGAGAUCCUGUCUCCGAAUUAAAAGGGGUGGUGUGGCUCAGUGCAAAGGCCCUGGGGGUUCAGUCUCUGGUGCUGAAAAAGAAAACAGUAAUAAUCUGAAGCAUUAGAUGCAAACUUUAGAAAAUGAUUUUUUAUAUGACUUUGAGGUUUAAAAGCCAGGUCUCCAAGUACUCAGGAGCCUGGAAGCUGAGUCCUAUUGCUGUGCUUUUGAAUUUACAUACUUCCCAGGGUAGACAGAGGAUGGCUUGGGGCAGCUAUGGGGUGGAGGUGAGCUGAACAAAAUUACACUCUGGCUUAGUCACAUACACAUGUCAAAUAAUCAAACUGACAAGGAAAGACAUUUGUUUUGGAGGGGUCUCUCAAAAUGUGCAACCACUCCUUGGGGUGGAUGGGUGGUGUCUCCUCCUCCUGGUCCUCCAGCUCAGGUUGGAAUUGAACAGUCAUUCCCACUGGGGACUUUCAGGUAAUGAAAGUGCUGAGAGAACUCAUCCUAUUUGUUAAUAGAGGCAGGACCCCCAGGGUCCAGAGCUGAAGAGUCAUUUAAAUAACAAGGCUACAUGACUGGAAGAUAAGACAUGGAGAAAGGCCUAUUCUUUUCCUGGUUAGGGUCCUCACCAAGUAUAUCACAUUACAAUUUCUAUUUUCUUGAUUGGGAAUUUAAAAGAAAGCCAGAGAAAGGUAAAUUGUAAGAACCACUCUAAUGCCAAGGACCUGAAAUCACUCAUUCUCCUUACAUGUAUCAUCUGAUGCUACGUUACAUCCGUAGAGGAGGAAUUACCCCAAAACUCACCAACUGUGCUUCUGUUUUCCUGUCAAUCCCCAAAGCUAAUAUGAAAAGACUCCAGAAACCAUCAUACAUGGAAGUGUGAAAUGAUUUCAAAACUUAAGGAAAUAUAAAUAUAUUUUCAUUUACUAAGCAUUCGAAGGUAGACAGAAAUUAUGAACUUCAGAAGUGGAAAGGAUCAACCAAAAUCCAAUCCGGCGGACGGUGCUCUUCCGUGGAGACAGCGUCAGGCGCGGACUGGCGCCCCUCAGCCUCGUCCUCAGGGACAGCCUCUUCCCCACACCCACUGUGGCUUCCUUUUUGCAGCCGUUCUGGCUGAGCACCUCCGGUUUGCCAACCCUGUGCCCGCCUCGGUGAUGUGUGCCUAACUCUUAGGCUUCCAGUGUGAUGGGGCCACCAGCACCGCAUAAAUGAACGGUCAAUACAACUUGUGAUAGCCCUGAUGAAGAACAGCAAUGGGGCUGUGAGGGAGUAAGGGGAGGUACGGGCGGGUGGUAGACAAAGGAGGUGAUGCCAGAGUUGAGAACUGUAGGGUGGCGAGGCAGAGAGAUGGAGACCACCGGGGAAGGAGGAGGCAGAGGUGGUGAAGAGACCCAGGGAGGAGAAACCCAGGUGUUUGAGGAAAUGCACCCUCCACCUGCUUUCUCUGUCUCUCUCACACACAGAUCCCUGGACCCCUCCUCGGAGGGCCGCUAAUCCCAAGACCUGAGGGUCCAUGCAUGGAUGGGCGGGCGGUGGACCGGGAGGCUCCCGUGGGAGAAACGCAGGCGGAGAGGCCCACGUCUGGACUGUUCAGAACAGCAGGGUGCAUCUGGAAAAGCCAACACCCAGUGGAUUCCUGCUACUGAGUUGAAGACUAAGGGGAUGCAGCUAUUGCGAUGAAAACAAGAGAAACACACAGCCAGUUGCUUUAGGAAGCUGCUGGCUUCACAGACCCCAGGGCUAAUUACAGCAUUUGAGAAACUCCAACCAGCAGCAGAUGCAAAAGGAGUGUUUAAAGUCGGUCUGUGCCGUGGUGUUCACGGAGCCCUGCCCUCAGAUGGGUACCCUGGGGAGCAGAAAUGAGGACCUCAUAUACCAUAGCACGCACAAGCUUCACACACACAAAUUCAGUCUUUCUCUCUGAUUCAGAACAAGGGCCACCCAUCCUUAAGAUGUCACGAGUCAUUGUUUUCGGGUCUGAUGUGUAAUCAGGCCAAACUCAAGGGAAAAAAGGUCACCGACUUCUAUUGUGGUUUUUAGGGGUGAUCUAACCAGAGAGUUUCUUGAAGCUGAGCUGAUUUUCAACCCUGCGGGUGGCGGGGCAGGCCAGAGCAGCUGUUCUCAGCUUUUUCAGGAAACUGACAAACAUGCAGGUCCCAGGGCUCCUGCCCCUGAGACUAAUUCAUUAGGUGACCUUGCUUCAGAAGCUUUAAGGCCACUUGGCCAAUCAGUGGUACCAAGGAAAGAGCUGAGCUUUACUUAAGGGUGACCUGCCCAGAGGUAAGUGACUCAGUAUUCGGGAUCCUCAGGUUCCUCUCUGUAGGACAGGGCUGUGAAGGUCUGAUCUGCAGGGCUGCCGAUGGAGGAUAACGUAUGAGCCAUCCCUGGCAGUGGCAAGCCUGGCCUUGAGCCUGUGUUGGGGUGUGAGAUCCAGGUCAGCCUCCUUAAGAGCCAGCAGGGAGAGUGUGAAGCUCUUUUUGAGGACCUGCUCAGGUUUCUGUGCCUAUCUGUGUCAACCUCAGGGAAUCGUCCCACUCCCUGUCCCCCGGCAGACAAUCAGCUGCAACUGCUCUUCGUUCCUUUUCUUUUUUUUUCCCCCGGGACCGGGAAUCGAACUCACAACCUUGCGCUUGCCAGGCAGGCGCUGUGCCGCUGAGCUAAAUCCCCAGCUGCUCUUGGUUCCUUAAACAUACUUUGCUGUCUUGUUCCGGAACUCCCUUCUUCCUUCCCUUUUCCAAAUUCUGGAAUUCUUGGCUCUUCCAGUCUAAAAGCUUCCUUCCCAUA